GCGAGUGAAGCGGGAAGAGCUCAAAUUUGAAAUCUGGCAGUCUUCGAUUGUCCGAGUUGUAAUCUAUAGAGGCGUUUUCCGUGCCGGACCGUGUCCAAGUCUCCUGGAAAGGAGUAUCAAAGAGGGUGAUAAUCCCGUACUUAACACGACCACCGGUGCUCUGUGAUACGUCUUCUACGAGUCGAGUUGUUUGGGAAUGCAGCUCAAAAUGGGUGGUGAAUUCCAUCUAAAGCUAAAUAUUGGCGAGAGACCGAUAGCGAACAAGUACCGUGAGGGAAAGAUGAAAAGCACUUUGGAAAGAGAGUUAAACAGUACGUGAAAUUGUUGAAAGGGAAACGAUUGAAGUCAGUCGUGUUCUUUGGAUUCAGCCAGUUCUGCUGGUCUACUUCCUUUGAACGGGUCAACAUCAGUUUUGUCCGGUGGAUAAAGGCAGUAGGAAUGUAGCUUCUCCGGAAGUGUUAUAGCCUAUUGUCACAUACACUGGGUGAGACUGAGGACUGCAGCUCGCCUUUAUGGCCGACCUUCGGGUACGUUCGAGCUUAGGAUGUUGACAUAAUGGCUUUAAACGACCC
This 572-nucleotide ribosomal RNA is filed under the name Trichosporon coremiiforme. Its description in RNAcentral is "eukaryotic LSU rRNA". It matches the Rfam family "Eukaryotic large subunit ribosomal RNA", at positions 89 to 650 of the family's 3401-position model. Lineage: Eukaryota; Fungi; Basidiomycota; Tremellomycetes; Trichosporonales; Trichosporonaceae. The record is from RNAcentral.